RNAcentral lists this long non-coding RNA (287 nucleotides) under Mytilus galloprovincialis (Mediterranean mussel). The record is from RNAcentral. Lineage: Eukaryota; Metazoa; Mollusca; Bivalvia; Mytilida; Mytilidae.
GCGAUUUCUUGGAUAAAUUCAUACGUUAUAAGUCGUAGAGGCCUACAGUCUUUUGAUAUGAAGUCCUUGGUCCAUUUGAAGGAAAUUGAGGUCAAGGUCAGGUUCUAAAUUUUGAAUUUUGCUUGUUAUCGUUAUUCCACAGUAACUGUGACAGUAAAUGAUAUGAUGUGUUUGCCAAAUAACUGUUUACAAUAAGGCGCAACUUCAACCUAUUUCAGUCAAAGUGUUUUGGUUAACCCUUAUACAAGUUUUCUCCCCUUAUGUAUUUGAAAUCAGUAUUUCUCCAC